RNAcentral lists this ribosomal RNA (230 nucleotides) under uncultured bacterium. RNAcentral describes it as "partial 16S ribosomal RNA". It matches the Rfam family "Bacterial small subunit ribosomal RNA", at positions 1262 to 1500 of the family's 1533-position model. The record is from RNAcentral.
CGGAUGCGGAUCUCGAAAGCCUGUCCCAGUUCGGACUGGAGUCUGCAACCCGACUCCACGAAGUUGGAUUCGCUAGUAAUCGCGCAUCAGCCAUGGCGCGGUGAAUACGUUCCCGGGCCUUGUACACACCGCCCGUCAAGCCAUGGGAGCCGGGGGCGCCUGAAGUCCGGGACCGCGAGGACCGGCCUAGGGCGAAACUGGUAACUGGGGCUAAGUCGUAACAAGGUAGC